RNAcentral lists this ribosomal RNA (850 nucleotides) under Alternaria omanensis. RNAcentral's name for it is "Alternaria sp. AG-2019a partial large subunit ribosomal RNA". It matches the Rfam family "Eukaryotic large subunit ribosomal RNA", at positions 68 to 935 of the family's 3401-position model. Lineage: Eukaryota; Fungi; Ascomycota; Dothideomycetes; Pleosporales; Pleosporaceae. The record is from RNAcentral.
ACAGGGAUUGCCCUAGUAACGGCGAGUGAAGCGGCAACAGCUCAAAUUUAAAAUCUGGCUCUUUUAGAGUCCGAGUUGUAAUUUGCAGAGGGCGCUUUGGCUUUGGCAGCGGUCCAAGUUCCUUGGAACAGGACGUCACAGAGGGUGAGAAUCCCGUACGUGGUCGCUGGCUAUUGCCGUGUAAAGCCCCUUCGACGAGUCGAGUUGUUUGGGAAUGCAGCUCUAAAUGGGAGGUACAUUUCUUCUAAAGCUAAAUAUUGGCCAGAGACCGAUAGCGCACAAGUAGAGUGAUCGAAAGAUGAAAAGCACUUUGGAAAGAGAGUCAAACAGCACGUGAAAUUGUUGAAAGGGAAGCGCUUGCAGCCAGACUUGCUUGCAGUUGCUCAUCCGGGCUCUUUGCCCGGUGCACUCUUCUGUAGGCAGGCCAGCAUCAGUUUGGGCGGUAGGAUAAAGGUCUCUGUCACGUACCUCUCUUCGGGGAGGCCUUAUAGGGGAGACGACAUACUACCAGCCUGGACUGAGGUCCGCGCAUCUGCUAGGAUGCUGGCGUAAUGGCUGUAAGCGGCCCGUCUUGAAACACGGACCAAGGAGUCUAACAUCUAUGCGAGUGUUUGGGUGUCAAGCCCGAGCGCGUAAUGAAAGUGAACGGAGGUGGGAACCCGCAAGGGUGCACCAUCGACCGAUCCUGAUGUCUUCGGAAGGAUUUGAGUAAGAGCAUGGCUGUUGGGACCCGAAAGAUGGUGAACUAUGCUUGAAUAGGGUGAAGCCAGAGGAAACUCUGGUGGAGGCUCGCAGCGGUUCUGACGUGCAAAUCGAUCGUCAAAUUUGGGCAUAGGGGCGAAAGACUAAU